RNAcentral lists this ribosomal RNA (1515 nucleotides) under Klebsiella pneumoniae. RNAcentral describes it as "bacterial LSU rRNA". It matches the Rfam family "Bacterial large subunit ribosomal RNA", at positions 1431 to 2925 of the family's 2925-position model. The record is from RNAcentral. Lineage: Bacteria; Pseudomonadati; Pseudomonadota; Gammaproteobacteria; Enterobacterales; Enterobacteriaceae.
UAAUAUUCCUGUACUUGGUGUUACUGCGAAGGGGGGACGGAGAAGGCUAUGUUAGCCGGGCGACGGUUGUCCCGGUUUAAGCAUGUAGGCUGGUUGUCCAGGCAAAUCCGGAUAAUCAAGGCUGAGGUGUGAUGACGAGGCACUACGGUGCUGAAGUAACAAAUGCCCUGCUUCCAGGAAAAGCCUCUAAGCAUCAGGUAACAUCAAAUCGUACCCCAAACCGACACAGGUGGUCAGGUAGAGAAUACCAAGGCGCUUGAGAGAACUCGGGUGAAGGAACUAGGCAAAAUGGUGCCGUAACUUCGGGAGAAGGCACGCUGGUGUGUAGGUGAAGUCCCUGCGGAUGGAGCUGAGACCAGUCGAAGAUACCAGCUGGCUGCAACUGUUUAUUAAAAACACAGCACUGUGCAAACACGAAAGUGGACGUAUACGGUGUGACGCCUGCCCGGUGCCGGAAGGUUAAUUGAUGGGGUUAUCCGUAAGGAGAAGCUCUUGAUCGAAGCCCCGGUAAACGGCGGCCGUAACUAUAACGGUCCUAAGGUAGCGAAAUUCCUUGUCGGGUAAGUUCCGACCUGCACGAAUGGCGUAAUGAUGGCCAGGCUGUCUCCACCCGAGACUCAGUGAAAUUGAACUCGCUGUGAAGAUGCAGUGUACCCGCGGCAAGACGGAAAGACCCCGUGAACCUUUACUAUAGCUUGACACUGAACAUUGAGCCUUGAUGUGUAGGAUAGGUGGGAGGCUUUGAAGCGUGGACGCCAGUCUGCGUGGAGCCAACCUUGAAAUACCACCCUUUAAUGUUUGAUGUUCUAACGUUGGCCCCUGACCGGGGUUGCGGACAGUGUCUGGUGGGUAGUUUGACUGGGGCGGUCUCCUCCCAAAGCGUAACGGAGGAGCACGAAGGUUAGCUAAUCCUGGUCGGACAUCAGGAGGUUAGUGCAAUGGCAUAAGCUAGCUUGACUGCGAGCGUGACGGCGCGAGCAGGUGCGAAAGCAGGUCAUAGUGAUCCGGUGGUUCUGAAUGGAAGGGCCAUCGCUCAACGGAUAAAAGGUACUCCGGGGAUAACAGGCUGAUACCGCCCAAGAGUUCAUAUCGACGGCGGUGUUUGGCACCUCGAUGUCGGCUCAUCACAUCCUGGGGCUGAAGUAGGUCCCAAGGGUAUGGCUGUUCGCCAUUUAAAGUGGUACGCGAGCUGGGUUUAGAACGUCGUGAGACAGUUCGGUCCCUAUCUGCCGUGGGCGCUGGAGAAUUGAGGGGGGCUGCUCCUAGUACGAGAGGACCGGAGUGGACGCAUCACUGGUGUUCGGGUUGUCAUGCCAAUGGCACUGCCCGGUAGCUAAAUGCGGAAGAGAUAAGUGCUGAAAGCAUCUAAGCACGAAACUUGCCCCGAGAUGAGUUCUCCCUGAGACUUUAAGUCUCCUGAAGGAACGUUGAAGACGACGACGUUGAUAGGCCGGGUGUGUAAGCGCAGCGAUGCGUUGAGCUAACCGGUACUAAUGAACCGUGAGGCUUAACCUU